This 460-nucleotide ribosomal RNA is filed under the name uncultured bacterium. RNAcentral describes it as "partial 16S ribosomal RNA". It matches the Rfam family "Bacterial small subunit ribosomal RNA", at positions 338 to 795 of the family's 1533-position model. The record is from RNAcentral.
CCUACGGGAGGCAGCAGUGAGGAAUAUUGGUCAAUGGCCGGAAGGCUGAACCAGCCAUGCCGCGUGAAGGUCAGUGCCCUAUGGGCGUUAAACUUCUUUUGUGCGGGAGCAAUAAUGGUCACGUGUGGCCAGACGAGAGUACCGUACGAAUAAGCAUCGGCUAACUCCGUGCCAGCGGCCGCGGGAAUACGGGGGAUGCAAGCGUUAUCCGGAUUUAUUGGGUUUAAAGGGUGCGUAGGCUGGGAGGUAAGGCAGCGGGGAAAUGCCCCGGCUCAACGGGGUGAAGUGCCAUUGAUACUGGCUGGCUGGAAUGCGGAUGACGUGGGAGGAAUGUGUGGUGUAGCGGUGAAAUGCAUAGAUAUCACACAGAACACCGAUUGCGAAGGCAUCUCACGGAUCCGAGAUUGACGCUGAUGCACGAAAGCGUGGGUAUCAAACAGGAUUAGAUACCCUAGUAGUC